AUUGAACGCUGGCGGCAGGCCUAACACAUGCAAGUCGAACGAGUGGCGGACGGGUGAGUAAUGUCUGGGAAACUGCCUGAUGGAGGGGGAUAACUACUGGAAACGGUAGCUAAUACCGCAUACCAUCGGAUGUGCCCAGAUGGGAUUAGCUAGUAGGUGGGGUAAAGGCUCACCUAGGCGACGAUCCCUAGCUGGUCUGAGAGGAUGACCAGCAACACUGGGACUGAGACACGGUCCAGACUCCUACGUGAGGCAGCAGUGGGGAAUUUUGCACAAUGGGCGCAAGCCUGAUGCAGCCAUGCCGCGUGUAUGAAGAAGGCCUUCGGGUUGUAAAGUACUUUUGGCGGGGAAGCGUUACCCGCAGAAUAAGCACCGGCUAACUCCGUGCCAGCAGCCGCGGUAAUAC
Molecule: ribosomal RNA, 406 nt
Filed under: uncultured bacterium
Lineage: Bacteria
Description: partial 16S ribosomal RNA
Rfam family: Bacterial small subunit ribosomal RNA
Source: RNAcentral